UACGAGGGGUCCUAGCGUUGUUCGGAAUCACUGGGCGUAAAGCGUAUGUAGGCGGACUUUUAAGUCAGGUGUGAAAUCCCACGGCUCAACCGUGGAAUUGCAUUUGAAACUGGAAGUCUUGAGUGUGGGAGAGAUUGGUAGAAUACCUGGUGUAGUGGUGAAAUACGUAGAUAUCAGGUGGAAUACCGGUGGCGAAGGCGGCCAAUUGGCCCAACACUGACGCUGAGAUACGAAAGCGUGGGGAUCAAACAGG
This 253-nucleotide ribosomal RNA is filed under the name uncultured bacterium. RNAcentral describes it as "partial 16S ribosomal RNA". It matches the Rfam family "Bacterial small subunit ribosomal RNA", at positions 524 to 776 of the family's 1533-position model. The record is from RNAcentral.